This 65-nucleotide transfer RNA is filed under the name Zingiber officinale. RNAcentral describes it as "tRNA-Thr". It matches the Rfam family "tRNA", at positions 7 to 64 of the family's 71-position model. From Rfam's summary of the family: Transfer RNA (tRNA) molecules are approximately 80 nucleotides in length. Their secondary structure includes four short double-helical elements and three loops (D, anti-codon, and T loops). The record is from RNAcentral. Lineage: Eukaryota; Viridiplantae; Streptophyta; Magnoliopsida; Zingiberales; Zingiberaceae.
GCUUAGCUCAGAGGUUAGAGCAUCGCAUUUGUAAUGCGAUGGUCAUCGGUUCGACUCUGAUAUCA